GAUGAACGCUGGCGGCGUGCCUAAUACAUGCAAGUCGAGCGAACAGAUGAGGAGCUUGCUCCUCUGACAUUAGCGGCGAACGGGUGAGUAACACGUGGAUAACCGACCUAUAAGACUGGGAUAACUUCGGGAAACCGGAGCUAAUACCGGAUAAUAUAUUGAACCGCAUGGUUCAAUAGUGAAAGACGGUUUUGCUGUCACUUAUAGAUGGAUCCGCGCCGCAUUAGCUAGUUGGUAAGGUAACGGCUUACCAAGGCAACGAUGCGUAGCCGGCCUGAGAGGGUGAUCAGCCACACUGGAACUGAGACACGGUCCAGACUCCUACGGGAGGCAGCAGUAGGGAAUCUUCCACAAUGGGCGAAAGCCUGACGGAGCAACGCCGCGUGAGUGAUGAAGGUCUUCGGAUCGUAAAACUCUGUUAUUAGGGAAGAAAAAAUGUUUAAGUAACUAUGCACGUCUUGACGGUACCUAAUCAGAAAGCCACGGCUAACUACGUG
Molecule: ribosomal RNA, 497 nt
Filed under: uncultured bacterium
Lineage: Bacteria
Description: partial 16S ribosomal RNA
Rfam family: Bacterial small subunit ribosomal RNA
Source: RNAcentral